UUUAAUUUUUUUAAAAAUUUAUAAAAUUUUCCUUUUUAUUAUAUAUGUUAUUUGGAAAAUUUUAAAAAGGAAACUAAAUUAAAAUUCAAUAAUAGUAUUUAAAUUUAAUAUAUUUAAUUCAUUAAGGGUAUUAUUGUAAUCAACCAUCGUGAGAGUUAAUGUGAGCGCGACACAUAAUAAACAGAUUUUUCAAAUAAUAUUACAGACAUUAGCAAAAACUUUUUAUAUCUAACAUCAAUUCUUUUCUAGCAAGCAAGUAAGCAAGAGUGAAGUUAAAAAAAAAAAAAAAAAAGUAAGCAAGAGUCAAAAGGGAAAUCUGAAUAGAAUAAAAGGUACCACGUACACAACAUUCAUAGGCGCAUUUACUAUUUUUCACAUUAACAGCGCAUUUGAUAUCAAAGCACGUACACAUUAUAGAUGUCAUAACUCUUGACACCUCUUGACAUCCAAGAGAGAUAAGGCUUCUGUACUUGGGAUUCUCUGAGUUGCUCAGUGUCCAAAAUACUGCUUCUUUUAAAUUGAGUUUUCAAUUUCUUGAAUCUUGAUGCUUCUAAAAUUAAAAUUCUGCAAAAGUUUAGAAUAUGGAUGCAUAAUUAUAUGAUAUCAAGACAUGCUGAAACAAGAAGACUG
Molecule: long non-coding RNA, 630 nt
Filed under: Brassica rapa (field mustard)
Lineage: Eukaryota; Viridiplantae; Streptophyta; Magnoliopsida; Brassicales; Brassicaceae
Description: long non-coding RNA (BRAP_LNC002994)
Source: RNAcentral